RNAcentral lists this unclassified non-coding RNA (301 nucleotides) under Glomeraceae sp. RNAcentral describes it as "partial contains 5.8S ribosomal RNA and internal transcribed spacer 2". The stretch from base 1 to 71 matches the Rfam family "5.8S ribosomal RNA", at positions 84 to 154 of the family's 154-position model. The record is from RNAcentral. Lineage: Eukaryota; Fungi; Glomeromycota; Glomeromycetes; Glomerales; Glomeraceae.
GUGAAUCAUCGAAUUUUUGAACGCAAAUUGCGCUUCCUAGCAUCCCGGGAAGUAUGCCUGUUUGAGGGUCAGUAUUAACUAAAAAAUCUGUUUGGUUUCAAAUUUUUACGUUUCCGGAUUUUGUGCUAUCUUAACUUUUUUGGUUAAGGGUCUUAAAAUUGACCUUUUUUGCGCAUUUUUAUUCGUACAUAAAUUUUUUUUUUAUUCGUCUAUUCUUAACUCCAUAAUCUUAUUAGAUUCGGUCACAUCUUGUGGUUUCGUGUCCAUAAAAUUUUCAUGAUUUGACCUCAACUCAGGUAGG